ACACAACUACCAGUGGAGGAACCUCAACCUGCACUAAACCAACAACUUCAACAACAAGAUGAUGUUCGAUUAUCGGUGCCGGAAACUCUAACACUGCCCACAGUUCGACCCUUUUACUCCCUUUAUACGGUGCAGUAUGGAGGAUUCCCUGGGAUGACUGAAGCAUCCAACACAACACAUCUCACACCAGAACCCUCUAAUUUAAGUUCUCCAUCCCAACUGUCU
Trichomycterus rosablanca is the source of this 225-nucleotide long non-coding RNA. RefSeq lists it as uncharacterized. The transcript has 3 exons. NCBI's taxonomy places the organism in Eukaryota, Metazoa, Chordata, Actinopteri, Siluriformes, Trichomycteridae. The record is from RefSeq and is a predicted model, not a curated record.